UACAGCAACAGAACACAUGACUUGUGAAGUCCCUGUGAACGAAUGGUGAGAACGCAUCUUGACCAGUUUCUAGAGUUAAAUACAGAUAGAUAUGAUAGCAUCGUUAAGGAGAACGAAGAAAAGGAUUCACAAGAAAUGAAACAUUUGGCAACUUGCCCCAGAACUGGAAAGGCAAGAAAGACUAAAUAUGCUAAAGGAGUAAAAUGAAGUUCACAAGAAAUUAGAAUUCAGACAUGUGCUGCAGCUAGAAACACUGAAACAGAUAUAUGUAACAUGUGGGAAUAUUUUGCAUAUAAAAUUUAGAGAAUGAAUCAAUGGCAAUGAAUGGGGAUAGGACAUAUCUUAUUUACUAGAAAGUGUUUCCUGGCAUUCCUGAGGAACUUGAAGGCUGUUUGUUUAAGAUAAGAAAACAACUUCAGCAUGCAAGAAAGAAGAUCCGCAGUUUGGAAUCAAAUAUUGGACAUUAAUUUAAUUCAUUUUUGUUGCUGUAUACAAUUCUAUUUAUUUGAAAAUUAAAGUUGACUAAAACAUAA
Long non-coding RNA from Mytilus trossulus (common blue mussel), 533 nucleotides. RefSeq lists it as uncharacterized. The record is from RefSeq and is a predicted model, not a curated record. Lineage: Eukaryota; Metazoa; Mollusca; Bivalvia; Mytilida; Mytilidae. The transcript has 4 exons.